CCUACGGGAGGCAGCAGUGGGGAAUAUUGCACAAUGGGGGAAACCCUGAUGAAGCGACGCCGCGUGAGUGAAGAAGUAAUUCGUUAUGUAAAGCUCUAUCAGCAGGGAAGAAAAUGACGGUACCUGAGUAAGAAGCCCCGGCUAACUACGUGCCAGCAGCCGCGGUAAUACGUAGGGGGCAAGCGUUAUCCGGAUUUACUGGGUGGAAAGGGAGCGUAGACGGCAGUGCAAGUCUGGAGUGAAAGGCGGGGGCUCAACCCCCGGACUGCUCUGGAAACUGUAUGGCUGGAGUGCAGGAGAGGUAAGUGGAAUUCCUAGUGUAGCGGUGAAAUGCGUAGAUAUUAGGAGGAACACCAGUGGCGAAGGCGGCUUACUGGACUGUAACUGACGUUGAGGCUCGAAAGUGUGGGGAGCAAACAGGAUUAGAUACCCGAGUAGUC
RNAcentral lists this ribosomal RNA (440 nucleotides) under uncultured bacterium. RNAcentral's name for it is "partial 16S ribosomal RNA". It matches the Rfam family "Bacterial small subunit ribosomal RNA", at positions 338 to 795 of the family's 1533-position model. The record is from RNAcentral.